CCUACGGGUGGCUGCAGUGAGGAAUAUUGGUCAAUGGGCGGAAGCCUGAACCAGCCAAGUAGCGUGCAGGAUGACGGCCCUACGGGUUGUAAACUGCUUUUAUACGGGAAUAACGCGCCUUACGUGUAGGGCUUUGCAUGUACCGUAUGAAUAAGGACCGGCUAAUUCCGUGCCGGCAGCCGCGGUAAUACGGAAGGACCGGGCGUUAUCCGGAUUUCUUGGGGUGAAAGGGAGCGUAGGCCGGAUGUCAAGGUUGCUGUGAAAUGUCCGGGCUCAACCCGGGCCUUGCAGCGCUAACUGGCGUGCUUGCGUCCGCGGAACGCAGGCGGACUUCGU
Molecule: ribosomal RNA, 336 nt
Filed under: uncultured bacterium
Lineage: Bacteria
Description: partial 16S ribosomal RNA
Rfam family: Bacterial small subunit ribosomal RNA
Source: RNAcentral